Flammula alnicola is the source of this 97-nucleotide non-coding RNA. The record is from the annotation of a GenBank genome assembly. NCBI's taxonomy places the organism in Eukaryota, Fungi, Basidiomycota, Agaricomycetes, Agaricales, Strophariaceae.
UCCGGUAUGGUGUAACGGCUAACAUUACCGCCUUUCACCCAUAUUCACAUUUGAAGUGUUCACGCGGUAGCUCGGGGUUCGAUUCCCCGUACCGGAA